Molecule: long non-coding RNA, 635 nt
Filed under: Lathyrus oleraceus (garden pea)
Lineage: Eukaryota; Viridiplantae; Streptophyta; Magnoliopsida; Fabales; Fabaceae
Description: Pisum sativum (pea) long non-coding RNA (PSAT_LNC038561)
Source: RNAcentral
UUUACUGCAGUGAAAAUUCUUGCAACUAUGAGGUUUCUGUUGCAACUUUCCUUGUAGCUAUGAGAUUAAUCAAACUCCUGGUGAUUAAAUCAUGGACAAUGGCCAUUGCUUCUUCGGUGUUACCGACUCGCUUUUGAUUAACAACCUCUCUUUUUUAAUAACUCAAUUUCACUAAGUAACGCUUCUUUGUCAAAAGUCUGAGAAAACAUAUCGCACAAAGUUUCUGAAUUGACUGUUGUGGUUUGAUUUGAUUUUUUGCAGGGCUAAGAUUGUCACAGGAAAUAUUUGUAUAUCAGUAUCCUUGAAGCAGUCUGCAAGCCAUUUUUUUUUGUGUGACGGCAAGUCGUUGCUGUUUUGCCAUUCUGCAGCUUGUGGCAAGAAUUCCAUUUUAACUAUUAUGCAAAAACUUAAUUUCAACUGGUGUUUGAAUGUUCCUUAGUUCCAAACAUUUCCCGAUGUCCUUGUUUUCAGAAGUUUGGUUUGGAUUUUUGUUUUCAGUUUUGAUGUUUUACUACCUUAGGUGGUGAUGCUGUUAAUGGACUGUGGAUUUUGGCGGUUUUCAAGUCCAUCACAUUAGAGGUCAUGGCGUUGCUAUAUCUCUUCAAAUGUUCCGUCUUGUGCCGCCCUGUCAUGGU